UAAAAAGAUGGCCGACCGGCGAUCCGCCGUCGUUACUUGAAUGACUCGGCGGGAAGCCUCCGGGAAACCAGAAUGUUUGGGUUCCGGGGGAAGUAUGGUUGCAAAGCUGAAACUUAAAGGAAUUGACGGAAGGGCACCACCAGGAGUGGAGCCUGCGGCUUAAUUUGACUCACCACGGGAAAUCUCACCAGGCCCGGACACCGGAAGGAUUGACAGAUUGAAAGCUCUUCCUUGAUUCGGUGGGUGGGGGUGCAUGGCCGUUCUUAGUUGGUGGAGCGAUUUGUCUGGUUAAUUCCGAUAACAAACGAACUUCUGGCCUACUAACAAUUCGUUGGAUCUCUUUGUGGGUCCAUCUCUUAUUCUUAUAGGGACGGGCGGCGUUUACCCGCACGAAAAUGAGCAAUAACAUGUCUGUGAUGCCCUUAUAUGUUCUGGGCUGCACGCGCGCUACACUGAAGGAAUCUGUGUGUGUACCCUGUCCGAAAGGACUGGGAAACCCGAUUAACCCCCUUCGUGAUGGGGAUUGUGGAUUGCAUUUAUUCCCCAUGAAAGAGCAUUCCCAUUAGGCGCGAGUCAUAAGCUUGCUUCGAUUACUUCCCUGUCCUUUGUACACACCGCCCGUCUCUCCUAUCAAUCGAGUGAUCAAGUGAGAACAUUCGGAUCGUUCUUCGCUAUGGUUUCGAGACGUGGCGAAGGAACCCAACGAUGCCCAACUUGAUUCAACUAGAGGAAGAAAAGUCGUACUAAGGUGCCGUAGUCGACCUACGGAAGGAGCAGGGUGAUUCAUCUACCCUGCUAGACUCUUCCCUUAGGUUAGUGUUAAUCUUGACUUUGAUGUAAUCGUGGCUUAUCUGGUUUCUGGA
RNAcentral lists this ribosomal RNA (863 nucleotides) under uncultured eukaryote. RNAcentral describes it as "bacterial SSU rRNA". It matches the Rfam family "Eukaryotic small subunit ribosomal RNA", at positions 1031 to 1831 of the family's 1831-position model. The record is from RNAcentral.